AUCCUUUCUGUGGUUUGUAAAGAUGUUUCCAACUGGUGUUCACAUGACUGUGUGAGAUGUGCCUCCCUUUAAACCUUGUUAGACGCCAGCACAUGACCCAUUUGAUA
This is a small nucleolar RNA of Oryctolagus cuniculus (rabbit), 107 nucleotides long. Lineage: Eukaryota; Metazoa; Chordata; Mammalia; Lagomorpha; Leporidae. The record is from Ensembl.